RNAcentral lists this long non-coding RNA (1789 nucleotides) under Sus scrofa (pig). RNAcentral's name for it is "lncRNA (ENSSSCG00005007802.1)". Lineage: Eukaryota; Metazoa; Chordata; Mammalia; Artiodactyla; Suidae. The record is from RNAcentral.
CAGUCCUCCCAGAAAAAGAGCUGCGUGGAAGAGCCGGAGCCGAAGGCCGACGCCGCUGAGGGUGACGGCGAUAAGAAGGGGAACGCAGAGGGCAGCAGCGACGAGGAAGGGAAGCUGGUCAUCGACGAGCCGACCAAGGAGAAGAAUGAGAAGGGGGCGCUGAAGAGGAGAGCAGGAGACCUGCUGGAGGACUCCCCCAAACGUCCCAAGGAGGCAGAAGACCCCGAAGGCGAGGAGAAGGAGGUGGCCACCUUGGAGGGUGAAAGGCCCCUUCCAGUGGAGGCAGAGAAGAACAGCACCCCUUCUGAGCCCAGCUCUGGCCGGGGGCCUCCUCCGGAGGAAGAAGAGGAAGAAGAAGAAGAAGAAGAAGAAGAGGCCACCAAGGAAGAUGCUGAGGCCCCGGGCAUCAGAGAUCAUGAGAGCCUGUAGCCACCAAUGUUUCAAGAGGAGCCCCCGCCCCGUUCCUGCUGCUGUCUGGGUGCUACUGGGGAAACUGGCCAUGGCCUGCAAACUGGGAACCCCUUCCCCACCCCCACCCGCUCUCCUCUUCCAUUCACUCUCCCCCUUCUGAGCUCAGCCCCUGGAGAUUGAUCUGGAUGGGGCAGGCCACCUGGCCCUCACCUCUAUGUCCCCACACCAGUGUGAUCCGAGUCAGGUCCAUGUCUUCUGCUCCAUGGGAUGAGAUGAGGCCGUUGUGUCCCUCCCUACCUGGAGCUGUUUCCCAGCGCAUUUGUCGGGGCCUCGACUGGCUCUUUCCAUCUCCCGACACCCCUCUCCCCCUCCCCCGGGCAUUCUAGACCUCUGGGUUGGUUGGGAUCAGGGUCAUGAGUGGAAGGGAUGGAAGCCUAGGUGGGCUUCUGGGGCCUGGGAAGGGCAGUCUUCACAUUGGGGUAGGGAGUGGACAGGAGGCUCUAGCAUCUCCUUGAGCUCCUGGCCCUUCCUCCAACACCUGUCAUCCCAGCUGCCUAGAUUCAGGGAAAGUGGGAUAGCUUUGGGGGGAGGGGCCCCCUUCCGCAAAUCCUUCCUCAUUGGCAAUGCCCCUUCUCCUUUGCUGACCCUGGGUGUCAUGGGAAUUGGAGUCUCUCAAUCCCACGAUUUGGGGGUUUGCAGGUUCUUUGGGCCAAGGAGCUGAGAUCUGAAGGCUUGACUUCACCCAGCUUGGGUGGAAGUGUUGAGGAGUAUCCACCCACCUUUAGAUCUCAGACCAGAGAUGGGAUGCCCUGGGGAGAUCCUUAGCUGCCCUUUUUCCUCUCCCCACAGUGCUCAAGGCCAGCCUACAGUCCAUAUGUCACCCAGACAUUAAGGAAAAGACACAUUUUUUAGGAAAUGUUUUUAAUAAAAGAAAAUUACAAAAAAAAAAAUUUUAAAGACCCCCCCCAACCCCUUUGUGUGCCGCCCCCCCCACUCUGCUCCUUUCUUCCCCAAUGUUGCUCCCAUUUCUGAGGUGCACUGGGAGGCUCCCCUUCUGUUUGGGGCUUGAUGACUUUUCUUUUUGUAGCUGAGGCUUUGGUGUUCCUUCUGGUGUCAUUUCCCAUCCACAUACCCGCAUCUGGUCCCCUCAGUGUCGUCACCAGAUCAGAUUUGUAACCCACCGAGAGGCCAGAGGGAAUUAAGCGCCCUCUCCCAACCUCUUUCUAGUGGUCUCUCUGCCUCUUCCGUCUCUUGUCUCUUUCACCCUUGCCCCUCUCCCUUGGGCUCUGAUGAAAAAUUGCUGACUGUAGCUUUGAAGUUUAGCUCUGAGAACCGUAGAUGAUUUCAGUUAUAGGAAAAUAAAACCCAUUGAUUACUA